RNAcentral lists this ribosomal RNA (538 nucleotides) under uncultured Pedobacter sp. Its description in RNAcentral is "bacterial SSU rRNA". It matches the Rfam family "Bacterial small subunit ribosomal RNA", at positions 96 to 632 of the family's 1533-position model. Lineage: Bacteria; Pseudomonadati; Bacteroidota; Sphingobacteriia; Sphingobacteriales; Sphingobacteriaceae. The record is from RNAcentral.
UGGCGCACGGGUGCGUAACGCGUAUGCAACCUACCUUAAUCAGGGGGAUAGCCCGAAGAAAUUCGGACUAACACCGCAUAAAAUCACAGUAUAGCAUUAUACAAUGAUCAAAUAUUUAUAGGAUUAAGAUGGGCAUGCGUGACAUUAGUUAGUUGGCGAGGUAACGGCUCACCAAGACUACGAUGUCUAGGGGAUCUGAGAGGAUGACCCCCCACACUGGUACUGAGACACGGACCAGACUCCUACGGGAGGCAGCAGUAAGGAAUAUUGGUCAAUGGAGGCAACUCUGAACCAGCCAUGCCGCGUGCAGGAAGACAGCCCUCUGGGUCGUAAACUGCUUUUAUUCGGGAAUAAACCUAUCUACGUGUAGAUAGCUGAAUGUACCGAAGGAAUAAGGAUCGGCUAACUCCGUGCCAGCAGCCGCGGUAAUACGGAGGAUCCAAGCGUUAUCCGGAUUUAUUGGGUUUAAAGGGUGCGUAGGCGGCUUAUUAAGUCAGGGGUGAAAGACGGUGGCUCAACCAUCGCAGUGCCUUUGAUA